GUAGCUUCCCUUCCUGCAGAUGACAUUUGUCUUCCUCUUGGCAUGCAGAAGUCCUGAGUAUGGGAUGCCCUCAGUGACCUUUGGCAGUGUCCACCCCUCUGAUGUGUUGGAUAUGCCUGUGGAUCCCAACGAACCCACAUAUUGCCUUUGUCACCAGGUCUCCUAUGGAGAGAUGAUUGGCUGUGACAACCCAGACGUGAGAACCGUUUUGCCCUGGGCUCUGGGGGAGGGGCUCUGAGGGGUGAGGACGUGAAUAGGAGGUAAUUGGCUUGAAGAGAAGAAUGCAGAAUUGGGGGGGGGGUGACUCGUUUGCUUGGAACUUGAGAAAGUUUCUAAGCUGGAGUAAAGGGUGCCUCUCGAGUCCAUAGUUGGCCCUUCCCUUUACCUGGCUCAGGUCCCUCCCUGAUGACUGUGUUCCUUCCUUUUCCAGUGUUCCAUUGAGUGGUUCCACUUUGCCUGUGUGGGGCUGACAACCAAGCCUCGAGGGAAAUGGUUUUGCCCACGCUGCUCCCAAGAACGGAAGAAGAAAUAGGUUUCCUUGGAUUCCAUCAGAGACUUCUUCUGAAUCCCCCUGACCUGGGCUAGUGGACAGAGAGGGGUGCCUGUGCUGGGGAUGGGGGUCCAGGGAGAUGGGGACAGUGCAGUACCGUCAUCCCUUCUCCCUUCUCCCCAUUCGGUGCUGAGGCUGCAUCCAAACCCCAGUAGAGAAGGUGCCACAGCCACUGACGGGAUGUGCUCUCCUUCCCCGCCUCGCCCUCAGAGGAAGUAGUCCCACUCACUGUCCUUUUGCCUCCGUGGGGAGGUUGGUGCUGUGUUUCAGAGGGAGGGUCCUCUUCAUUCCCCUUGCUUUGACUUAGAAGUGGGCAGUGGAGUGGGCACUCUCCCAGUCCCCUCAAUCCUCCUUCCCCCAUUGGGAACUAGGUAGGACAGACUGCCUUCUCUGUGCUCUUCCUUUUCUCCAUGGGGAGGGUCUUCUAGGUCAUUUGGGCUGUGGCCUAGUUGAGUGGUUACCCCAACCUCUAUGGCCCGGGGAAUUCUG
Molecule: long non-coding RNA, 1039 nt
Filed under: Rattus norvegicus (Norway rat)
Lineage: Eukaryota; Metazoa; Chordata; Mammalia; Rodentia; Muridae
Description: long non-coding RNA NONRATT020904
Source: RNAcentral